UUUUUAAUCGAAAUUGUUAUCAAUGAAAUCGGGCUCAUGUUCCCAAAUUUUAAGCCCGUGUCAAAAGGUUAAAAUUAAUAAUUAUUGAUUAAAGUAGAAUAUUAAAUUUACUUCCAAACUUAAUAUUUUGGUACUCCUAAAAGACUUUCUUUAUCAAUAUAGAAUAUUACGUAUUAUGCUUCGUAGGCAUAGACUAUAGACCAAGAUUUAUUGAUAGACUUAUAGAAAUAGACGGAACAUUAGGUAUGAUAACGCAUGCAACGGUGGAGCUUGUUACGAGGAUUGGAGCUAUGUAUUUGCAAAUGUUCCGUCUAUUUCUAUAUACUGUGGAAACGGCGAGAUAAAGAAUGAACAUUGAACACAUAAUGUCAAAGACAUAAUAGAUAUUAUGUCUAUGCAUAAUGUAGAUACGCAGAGUGGAAGUGGUGGGUUUUCCACAACGAAUCGAUGGAAAUUUCGCAUUUUUUUUUUCAAGUGUUUAGCCAUACGUCGUGGCUUUACUACAUAAUAUGAUGUGUACAAACAGAAACAUUUCGUUUCCGUGAAACGCUGUACUUACAAGUGGAUAUUGAAAAAAUGAAAAUAAAAAAAAUUAUUAAUAAUAAUUUUUAAUCAAAAGGCAACUACCUACCUACUGUGCGUAGUGCUCAGGUCUCCAGAGGCUCUAAACCAUAUUGCAGGAUUUUAAGCGAUUUCGUGUUGGAUAUAAAUUCAGAAUUCUCGUUUUACAAACUAUGCCGCAGGUAUAAGUGUCUAUAGUCUAUACUCUAUACUGCAAUGCUAUAAUAAUGUCUACGUCUCACAAUCGUGAGUGUAAGCGGUACAGCACGUCCGUUAAAAUAAACUACUUUAUCAUAUACAUAUAGAAUUUAAUAAAUAAUUAUAAUUUAAAUAAUAUGCGUCUAUCACGCUCACACGUCAAACUAUAAUAUGAGCUUAAAUUUUGUUGUUUGAACAUGUUCGUGCUUUUUCUCUGUUGAUAAGCUUUACUGUCGAUGGUAUAUUAUACUAUAUAGGUAGUAUGGAUAGUAUAAUAUAACCAGUUAUGGCUGUAUAAUAUUAUACUAGGUGAUUAUACUGGCUUAAAUAAUUUUCAAAUAUGCGAUUUUUGCGUUUUCGAAGUUUUUGAAAAAUAAUAGAUAUCCACGUUUCUAUGUGUGUGUUCGUGUCGCUUUAGUUUUACGAAAAAAUCAAAUUAGUUUUAUAUUUCUAAAAGGUAUAUUGAUUAAACCUAUAUUUAUUUUUUCAUAACCGUGAGCAGUAUAUUUGUCCAUACAUUUUUAUGUCGGACAAUUAUUAUCGCGCUGUGUACUUGUGUUGGAUAAACACUUAAAAAAAUUGACUUGAAAAGUCAACGAGGCCAGUGAAACGGAUCAACCCGAUGCACGCAAAGUGAUUGUAAAAUGUGUGGUGGAUACAAAUUAGCAGACGGCGAUCGUCGAAACACAUAAUAUGUACCAGAUUUAUAACAUACGAACAUAGUAUACAUAUAUAUAUAUAUAUAUAUAUAUAUAUAUAUAUACAGAAUAAUAUCGUAAACAAUAUAUCGGCCUCGGCGACCGAAAUCAGUGACAUAUUAUAGAAUUAGUGGGCGGUAGCGACGAGUUAAUCACCAAAUUAAUCCAACGUGAACAACGCCAUAAUUAAAUAUACGAUUUUGCAAUGUUUGUUUAUGAGUUGUAGCACACACGAUGAUCGCAUUAUGAAUGAUAAAAAUAUUUGUAAAAAUAUCAAUAACAUAUACUGCUGAGAACAGCGAGCGUAUGACGUUUUUUUUGCGUUGAUAUUAUUUACAUGUUUCAGAGCUUGGAUUCGUGCAUUCUGCCGCGAUUUAAUAUUAUAAUAUACGUGGAUAGGGAGUGUCGUAUAUUAAACUGCAGUUUUCGUUCGCAAUCAGAAAAUAUUUUAUUUGUGCACGUUGGUCAUUCCAUAACCGCAUAAUACCGUGUCCAUUUGAGCGAUAUCAAAUUUAACCGGCUAGAUGCAAUUAACCUCAUCAGCUAUACAUGUAGGACAUGAUAUAAUGGAUUGAGUUCGUCCACGCAAGCCGUCGGCCAUUCGGUGCCUUACGAUAUGUAUACGCAUUACCAAUACGAUGGAUUGUAAAAAAAAUGUAUUCGAAAUGACGACUCGUAGGUCGACGACACUCAUUAUCAAUAAUUAUUAUCAUAUCGUGUUUAUGAAAGGCACAAGCAGGGCAUCUCGCAAAAUGUUGGUCAUCGAAAUUUUAAAUAGGUAUCUAAAAAAAAAAUGGAAAAUGAAAAUGUCUCUAAACAGUUCAAAAUAAAUCAAAAU
Molecule: long non-coding RNA, 2295 nt
Organism: Acyrthosiphon pisum (pea aphid)
Lineage: Eukaryota; Metazoa; Arthropoda; Insecta; Hemiptera; Aphididae
Exons: 4
Source: RefSeq, a predicted model, not a curated record